CCUGGCAAUUUUAGUACAAUAAAAUAUUCUAAAAUGUAGAAUGAAUAUAUUAUUAUCUGCAAAACAAACUUUUGUAAAAUUGGCUGAACUUAUAGUGCUAAUUGGCUUCACACUUACAAGUAUGUCACUUGACAUUGCCGUUUUGUUGUAUAAAGUAAUAGAGGUGGUGUAUUAGAUCACAUCUGAAUAUCGGUAAACUACGAAAGUCAUACCCACUGUUAGAAAAAAAGUAAAAUCACAAAAAUACUGAACUUAGAGGAAAAUCAAUUCGGAAA
This 275-nucleotide long non-coding RNA is filed under the name Mytilus galloprovincialis (Mediterranean mussel). The record is from RNAcentral. Lineage: Eukaryota; Metazoa; Mollusca; Bivalvia; Mytilida; Mytilidae.